RNAcentral lists this ribosomal RNA (495 nucleotides) under uncultured bacterium. Its description in RNAcentral is "partial 16S ribosomal RNA". It matches the Rfam family "Bacterial small subunit ribosomal RNA", at positions 28 to 507 of the family's 1533-position model. The record is from RNAcentral.
GACGAACGCUGGCGGCGUGCCUAAUACAUGCAAGUAGAACGCUGAAGGAGGAGCUUGCUUCUCUGGAUGAGUUGCGAACGGGUGAGUAACGCGUAGGUAACCUGCCUGGUAGCGGGGGAUAACUAUUGGAAACGAUAGCUAAUACCGCAUAAGAGUAGAUGUCGCAUGACAUUUGCUUAAAAGGUGCAAUUGCAUCACUACCAGAUGGACCUGCGUUGUAUUAGCUAGUUGGUGAGGUAACGGCUCACCAAGGCAACGAUACAUAGCCGACCUGAGAGGGUGAUCGGCCACACUGGGACUGAGACACGGCCCAGACUCCUACGGGAGGCAGCAGUAGGGAAUCUUCGGCAAUAGACGGAAGUCUGACCGAGCAACGCCGCGUGAGUGAAGAAGGUUUUCGGAUCGUAAAGCUCUGUUGUAAGAGAAGAACGAGUGUGAGAGUGGAAAGUUCACACUGUGACGGCAUCUUACCAGAAAGGGACGGCUAACUACGUG